GGAUGGCCAACCAUCUUGGCUUGCCUGGGACUGAGGGGAGUUUCCUGGGACAGAACUUUCAGUGCUAAAACUGGGAAAGUC
Molecule: microRNA precursor, 81 nt
Filed under: Vicugna pacos (alpaca)
Lineage: Eukaryota; Metazoa; Chordata; Mammalia; Artiodactyla; Camelidae
Description: miRNA (ENSVPAG00000017811.1)
Source: RNAcentral